GUCGAAAACAACGUUGUGCGGGAACCCUGCGUUGUUCUUGAACACGAUCUUUUCCCCAGAGGGAACGGAGAACUCGCUGGGAACGAACACCAAAGAGCCGUCACCGCUACCAAGCAAGACUUCAAGGGCCAUGGCAUUGCUGGCGAGAACGGCGCUGGCGGCGGUGGCCACAACUGCGGCUCCAAGGUCUUUGAGGGAAGCCUUGAUGCCGAAGCGUGGGGCCUGGGGAACUGAGACUUUAACUGCGGCAGCACUCACUUUGGUUGGUCCACUCGCCUUGAGGCCGGUGAAUGAGGGAAUAGCGACGGCUGCGGAGGUGACGGCGGCCAUGUUUGUCUGUGAAGGAAGGUCUGGCGAGUGAGGUUGGUGUGUGGAAUGGGAAAUCAAAAUGGAGAAAAGCGAAGGUUAUUUCUUAUAGAGUGAGAAAAUGGAGAAAAGUGUGGAUUGGUUUUUG
This 454-nucleotide long non-coding RNA is filed under the name Phaseolus vulgaris (common bean). RNAcentral's name for it is "long non-coding RNA (PVUL_LNC001006)". Lineage: Eukaryota; Viridiplantae; Streptophyta; Magnoliopsida; Fabales; Fabaceae. The record is from RNAcentral.